GCUUAACGCGAAGAACCUUACCAGCCCUUGACAUGGCAGGACGAUUUCCGGUAGACGGAUCUCUUCACUUCGGUGACCUGCACACAGGUGCUGCAUGGCUGUCGUCAGCUCGUGUCGUGAGAUGUUGGGUUAAGUCCCGCAACGAGCGCAACCCUCGCCUCUAGUUGCCAUCAUUAAGUUGGGUCGACUCUAGAGGGACUGCCGGUGAUAAGCCGGAGGAAGGUGGGAUGGACGUCAAGUCCUCAUGGCCCUUACGGGCCUGGGGCUACACACGUGCUACAAUGGUGUGACAGAGGGCAGGCUACUCCGCGAGGGGAAGCUAAAUCUCACAAAACCGAUACGUAGUCCGGAUCGCAGUCUGCAACUCGACUGCGUGAAGUCGGAAUCGCUAGUAAUCGUGAAUCAGAAUGUCACGGUGAAUA
Molecule: ribosomal RNA, 422 nt
Filed under: uncultured bacterium
Lineage: Bacteria
Description: bacterial SSU rRNA
Rfam family: Bacterial small subunit ribosomal RNA
Source: RNAcentral